GGGCCCGUGGCCUAACCUGGACAGGGCGAGUGGCUUCGGACCACUAGGUUGGGGGUUCGAAUCCCUCCGGGCCCG
RNAcentral lists this transfer RNA (75 nucleotides) under Microcaldota archaeon. RNAcentral's name for it is "tRNA-Arg". It matches the Rfam family "tRNA". Rfam says of the family: Transfer RNA (tRNA) molecules are approximately 80 nucleotides in length. Their secondary structure includes four short double-helical elements and three loops (D, anti-codon, and T loops). The record is from RNAcentral. Lineage: Archaea; Nanobdellati; Microcaldota.